This is a long non-coding RNA of Sorghum bicolor (sorghum), 593 nucleotides long. RefSeq lists it as uncharacterized. The record is from RefSeq and is a predicted model, not a curated record. NCBI's taxonomy places the organism in Eukaryota, Viridiplantae, Streptophyta, Magnoliopsida, Poales, Poaceae. The transcript is spliced from 2 exons.
CUUCCCGCGCGCUCUUCCCGUGCCCCUCUCUCGAAUCCAUCACCGGCACACACCAAAUUCGUCACUGGCGGACACCAAAUCCCUGUUCGCGCCUCAUCCAAAUCCCCUAAAAAAUCUAUGGCACAAUAGCCCCUCCUCAAUCGAUUUCCCACCUCAAUCUUCAUGAAUCAAAAUCCGCCCUCAAUCUCUCAGAGAAUGAAUCGAGUGAGUGGUUCCACGCGAGUCUCUGGAUCUGCAGCCACCCAUGGUGCAACAACCUCUGCUCCGGCCACCGGCGAUGCUGCAACUACUGUUCAAGUCGCCGGUGUUCCUAUAGGGUGGACAAUGUAUCUCUUGGGGCGUUCUUUAGGCAUGAUUCAUCUCCUACUGAAGGAUGAUGGUUUCUGGAGAUUUGAGGCGACCUGAUGGCUUAUGGAGUACAUGUGCUACUGACUUGACAUGAUAUGGACAUCAACUACAUGCAUGAGAGAUGAUAGAUGAUUCCACCUUAUUAUUUUACUAUACAUAGUGUGCUGGACUGCAAAAUUUUGUUGUUUCUUUGCUAGCAUGUGUUCUAGGCACAUACUAAUUACAGAAAGUUCGCACAGUUGAUC